RNAcentral lists this ribosomal RNA (434 nucleotides) under uncultured Lachnospiraceae bacterium. Its description in RNAcentral is "bacterial SSU rRNA". It matches the Rfam family "Bacterial small subunit ribosomal RNA", at positions 341 to 792 of the family's 1533-position model. Lineage: Bacteria; Bacillati; Bacillota; Clostridia; Lachnospirales; Lachnospiraceae. The record is from RNAcentral.
ACGGAAGGCAGCAGUGGGGAAUAUUGGACAAUGGGGGAAACCCUGAUCCAGCGACGCCGCGUGAGUGAAGAAGUAUUUCGGUAUGUAAAGCUCUAUCAGCAAGGAAGAAAAUGACGGUACUUGACUAAGAAGCUCCGGCUAAAUACGUGCCAGCAGCCGCGGUAAUACGUAUGGAGCAAGCGUUAUCCGGAUUUACUGGGUGUAAAGGGAGCGUAGACGGCAAAGCAAGUCCGAAGUGAAAUCCCGGGGCUCAACCCCGGAACUGCUUUGGAGACUGUUUAGCUAGAGUGCAGGAGAGGUAAGCGGAAUUCCUAGUGUAGCGGUGAAAUGCGUAGAUAUUAGGAGGAACACCAGUGGCGAAGGCGGCUUUCUGGACUGUAACUGACGCUGAGGUACGAAAGUGUGGGGAGCAAACAGGAUUAGAUACCCUGGUA